This 467-nucleotide ribosomal RNA is filed under the name uncultured bacterium. Its description in RNAcentral is "partial 16S ribosomal RNA". It matches the Rfam family "Bacterial small subunit ribosomal RNA", at positions 29 to 507 of the family's 1533-position model. The record is from RNAcentral.
ACGAACGCUGGCGGCGUGCUUAACACAUGCCAGUCGAACGGAAAGGCCCUGCUUUUGUGGGGUGCUCGAGUGGCGAACGGGUGAGUAACACGUGAGUAACCUGCCCUUGACUUUGGGAUAACUUCAGGAAACUGGGGCUAAUACCGGAUAGGAGCUCCUGCUGCAUGGUGGGGGUUGGAAAGUUUCGGCGGUUGGGGAUGGACUCGCGGCUUAUCAGCUUGUUGGUGGGGUAGUGGCUUACCAAGGCUUUGACGGGUAGCCGGCCUGAGAGGGUGACCGGCCACAUUGGGACUGAGAUACGGCCCAGACUCCUACGGGAGGCAGCAGUGGGGAAUAUUGCACAAUGGGCGGAAGCCUGAUGCAGCAACGCCGCGUGCGGGAUGACGGCCUUCGGGUUGUAAACCGCUUUCGCCUGUGACGAAGCGUGGGUGACGGUAAUGGGUAAAGAAGCACCGGCUAACUACGUG